UUGCGGUUAAAAAGCUCGUAGUUGGAUCUCGGCAAGUAGAGGGCGGUAUGCUUCGUAGCAUUACUGCCCUAUUACUUGUAGUUUUGCCAGAGGUUCCUGGGUGCUCUUAAUCGAGUGUCUAGGGAUGCUGGCAGGUUUACUUUGAAAAAAUUAGAGUGCUCAAAGCAGGCUAUUACGCUUGAAUAUUCGUGCAUGGAAUAAUAGAAUAGGAAGUUGUUUCUAUUUUGUUGGUUUUCGGAAAUCGACUUAAUGAUUAAUAGGGACAGUCGGGGGCAUUUGUAUUCAAACGACAGAGGUGAAAUUCUUGGACCGUUUGAAGACAAACUACUGCGAAAGCAUUUGCCAAGAAUGUUUUCAUUAAUCAAGAACGAAAGUUAGAGGUUCGAAGGCGAUUAGAUACCGCCCUAGUUCUAACCAUAAACGAUGCCAGCUAGCGAUCUGAGGACGUUUUUUUUGUAGACUCCUCAGGAAGCUUCCGGGAAACCAAAGCGUGUGGGUUCCGGGGGAAGUAUGGUUGCAAAGCUGAAACUUAAAGGAAUUGACGGAAGGGCACCACCAGGAGUGGAGCCUGCGGCCUUAAU
RNAcentral lists this ribosomal RNA (581 nucleotides) under uncultured marine eukaryote. RNAcentral's name for it is "SSU rRNA". It matches the Rfam family "Eukaryotic small subunit ribosomal RNA", at positions 613 to 1194 of the family's 1831-position model. The record is from RNAcentral.